UAAAAAAGUGAAAAAUUUAUAUCAAAUUAGUAUUAGUUAAGGUCUUGAAAAUUAAAGAUUUUGGCGGUAUUUUAGUCUUUUCAGAGGAACCUGUCCUGUAAUCGAUAUUCCACGAUUAAUUUUACUUAUAUUAUUAGUUUACAUAUCGUCGUAGUUGAAUAUUUUAUAAGAAUUUUAAUAUUCAGUAUUUUUAAUAAGAAUAGAAAUCAGAUCAAGGUGUAGUUUAUAUAUAAGGAGAGAUGGGUUACAAUAAAAUUAUUUAAAAUGGAUUGGAAAAUGAGAUUUUUUCUUGAAGGUGGAUUUGAGAGUAAUUUUGAUUAUUUUAUUAAAAUGAUUUUAGCUCUAAAAUAUGC
This 353-nucleotide ribosomal RNA is filed under the name Bothrideres sp. CO912. Its description in RNAcentral is "partial 12S ribosomal RNA". Lineage: Eukaryota; Metazoa; Arthropoda; Insecta; Coleoptera; Bothrideridae. The record is from RNAcentral.